CUUCAAGUUCAGGGCAUAAUUGGGUAGAAGUUGCAGCCAAACGAGAAGGGAUCUUGGCAGGAAGAUGGAGAAACCGAUGAAGAAGGGGAACAAGAAGUCGAUGAAGGGCAGGUGGUGGGUACAUUUGACGUUGUACAGAAGUUACCCUCUAGUGUAACACAUGUUACAAACAUGUGUUACAUAUGUUCAACCCCUUUGUUACCAAAAAUCGGGGCUGCACAUAUGUAAGACAUGUUUGUAACUUAUGUUACACUAGAGGGUAGCACAUGUAUGAUCAUUUUUGGAUCAUUUGUAUAUAUUUAAGUCUGUAUAAACCUACAACAUCGAAACCCCCAAAAAGGUUACACAUGUUAUGACAGAAUGGGAAAUGUGUAGCAGCGUUCAAUACUGUUGUUUCACUCUAUAGUGUGUAACAUGUGUGACAUGGCGUUUGUCAGCAAAACAUAUAACUUGUAAGGUGAUACGGUUGUAUCUUUAAAACA
This is a long non-coding RNA of Helianthus annuus (common sunflower), 482 nucleotides long. RefSeq lists it as uncharacterized. The record is from RefSeq and is a predicted model, not a curated record. Lineage: Eukaryota; Viridiplantae; Streptophyta; Magnoliopsida; Asterales; Asteraceae. The transcript has 2 exons.